AGAAUCAACGCUGGCGGCGUGCCUAACACAUGCAAGUCGCACGAGAAAGGGACUUCGGUCCUGAGUAAAGUGGCGCACGGGUGAGUAACACGUGAAUCAUCUACCUCCGAAUGGGGAAUAACUGAGAGAAAUCUUAGCUAAUACCGCAUAAUACCCACGGGUCAAAGCAGCAAUGCGCUUGGAGAGGAGUUCGCGGCCGAUUAGCUAGUUGGCGGGGUAAUGGCCCACCAAGGCGAUGAUCGGUA
Molecule: ribosomal RNA, 245 nt
Filed under: uncultured bacterium
Lineage: Bacteria
Description: partial small subunit ribosomal RNA
Rfam family: Bacterial small subunit ribosomal RNA
Source: RNAcentral